GUUCUUAACACUGGUUGUCUCCCUAAUGACGGUGUCAUUAAAGUUCAGAUGGUGAGAUGGAGAAGUUAACUUGAUGUUUAGGAGCAAAAACUAUAAAGUGUGUUUUAUCCUCAUGAAUUUUUAGCAUAUUGGUGCACAUCCACUUCUCGAUUUCUUAAUUAUCAACUCAUUUUCCUUACAAGUAUAAUUUUUAGUAUAUUGCAUAAUAAAUUUUAAUUUUAUUACGGUUAACGAAUUUUGUUAUAAAUGAUAGAAUUUAAACAGGUAAGAAUUUUAUAUGUUCAAUUACAUUUGAUUUUGUUUAUGCAUAUAUAUUUCAGUACUGAUUAGUUCUAAAAAUUGGAAUUUAAUUUCAGAUUUGGUUUUGCUUAACAUUCUUUUGUUAAAAGAAGUAUCCUUGACAAAAACUCAUGAAAAUGCAUGUAAUUUCUCAUUGGAAGUAGACAACAAUGUUUAAUAUUACAUUCUAACUUCACUCACUUGGGUAGUACUACUACAUAUAUCACUUUUCUUUUUCUUCUCCCUGUUUUCUAUUUGUUUUAAAGGUACGUAUCAAAAUGAAAAUGCACAUGGCGAUUUUUUUUUUCAUUUUUGCUGUUCAAUUCAUUUCAUUCCAAUAGUAUAGAGAGAGGAGUGAGGAGAGAAAGGAUGAAUAUUUAUAUUGCGUGAUUUUAUAUUUGUUUUAUAUUUGCUUUAUAAACUGAGCUGAAAUGAUGUAUAUUCGCGAGGAUUGUAUUGAUGAUUGCAAAUAUGAAUUAACACAAAUUGAACUAUAGAACAAACUUUCAGAAAACGAUGUUCAUUGUCUCUUGUUAAUUCGAGCAUAGCACGCAUAGAAGAAAACUGUGAGUAACAUUUUCAGGUUUUCAUUGAAAUUGUAACGACUCAGUUAACCUUGAAUUCAUUUAUCGGUUCAAACAUUUUAAUGCCUCGCUUUUUAAUUUAGUAACAAGGUCAUGAUCUGUAGUUCACAAUUUUGUCUAGAAUAUAUAACAUAUACUAUUUUGUCUAGAAUAUAGAGAUGAUGUCCUGCAUGCCAGCCUCAGGUUUUUGCUUUGUGUGAUACAAGUAUAAUAAGUUCUACUGUAAUUUUGGAGGCAGAAAAAAUCCUGAAAUUGUUCAUGUAUUUAUUAACAUGUAUUUUGUCUGCACAUAACUAAUUUUGCUUAUUUACAUGUAACAAUAACUAUUCAGCGUAUUAUUUACUUGUAAGCCUACAAAAUUUUUUUUUUUUAUUAUUUUAAAAUUACUCUUCUGAUAUAUAAUUUCAGAAGUAAAACGAAAAGAGCUUCCUUUACAAAAUUUAUUUGAUUUGAUUUCAAUGAUGAUUAUAUGAUUAUUGAUAAGAUUUUUUCUCAAUUUUGAAAAUUCCUUAUUUUGUAUAUUAGACUAAGUAUUGUUUGAAACGUCAUUAUUAUGAUACAAUGCAUCUUUUAAAACACUUUUUAAGCAAGGAUCAUGUAAAGUUGGGGAAUCAAUUUUGUCUCAUUUAUAAUAAAGAUAUAAAAUGUAUUUUAGGCAUCAUAAUCAUGAUUAGUGCUGUCCUCACAUGUCUUUUGUCCUAGUAUUCAGUAGUUUCGAUUAACAAGAGUGUCGAAGUAAGUUAUCAAUAUCUGACAUCAUAAAAAAAUCAUUAAUAUUUGAACUCCCCUAAUCAAAGUUUGUGCCGCCUCAGCUGUUGGAAAAACAAACCCAUGCAUAAAUGUAGCAACCAAGGAAAUCAGUUACAAAUAGACGUGGUUGUCAGUCCUUAUUAUACCAGAAAACUGAUGUAAGAAAUACGUCAGGUAUUUAAAAACCCGUUUUCUUUCUCUAUUUUUACUAAAUAAUGUUUGCUUAAUGAAAUUUGAAGAGAAUUGUUUCCGAUCAUGAUAAGGGACAAACGGCGGACGUCACUCGUCGGAGAAGGGGAUGUUUACCCCUCCAUGUCACCUGAUCCCUCCGUUGAAGUUUAAGAAGUCUACAAGUGUAUGUUGCUUUGCUCGUUAGUUGUAUUGCUUGAAUAAUGUUCGCUAUUCCAAUAUACUUAAUUUUAAUAUAUUUCUUUUUCGCAAGGGGUUUUUGUCUCUCUUUAGAAUAAAUCUCUCUGAAUAGAAUCCUGAAUGCCAUCUGGAAAUACAUGUAUUCGAUAUACAACUGCAUGCUCUACGUAUGAGCAAUUUCUAAAAUGAGAGACCCAGAAUUGUACUUUAGCAGAGCCAGACGACACACCCCAAAAUCCUGUGUGAGCAUUUUAUCUACAUGUACUUCUGUACCAGGUGUAUCUUAGAGAACUACUGGAUCAAGACCAGGCGUGAAAAUAUAUGGAUGAGCAGUAUUAGAUCAGUGAUUAGAUACAAAGAUUUAACCGAGAACAGACAUGAAAAGAAAAGAGGAACACGACUGGAUCAGUGAUUAAAUAAACAAAAUUAUUCCAGACCAUGCGUGGAAAAUAUGGACAUAUUUGAUCAGUGAUUAGAAACAAAAUUUUAUCCUAGACUAGGCGUGAAAAGAUAUGAAUGAGCACUAUUGGAUCAGAGAUUAGAUAUAAAAUUUUAUCCUAGACCACAGGCGUGAAAAGAUAUGGAUGAGCAGUACUAGAUUGGUGAUACAAAAUGUCAACCAAGAAAAGGCGUGAUGAAAAACAGAUGUAUGACAUUACAUCGAAUUCAAUGCGUUUUCACUCCG
This is a long non-coding RNA of Saccostrea cuccullata (small rock oyster), 2667 nucleotides long. RefSeq lists it as uncharacterized. NCBI's taxonomy places the organism in Eukaryota, Metazoa, Mollusca, Bivalvia, Ostreida, Ostreidae. The record is from RefSeq and is a predicted model, not a curated record. The transcript is spliced from 4 exons.